RNAcentral lists this unclassified non-coding RNA (522 nucleotides) under Hevea brasiliensis (rubber tree). The record is from RNAcentral. Lineage: Eukaryota; Viridiplantae; Streptophyta; Magnoliopsida; Malpighiales; Euphorbiaceae.
AAAAGAAAAAAGGAAGUGCUUUGGCUUAGUUCUUUCAUCUCUUUUGUUUCCAUCACAUAAAAAGUCACUGAAAAGAUUUGCUAAUUGCAAUUUCAGUGCCUUCUUCCCGCUUCUGGUUAGAAGAAUCCAACUUGAGUUAUUUCGUCAGUUGGUAGGUGGAGUUAAGGUCUACUAGAUCAGAGAUGGGGUUUAUAAAAUUGUAUCUACCACAUUUGUACAUUCUUGUCAAAGCUUUUAUACGUAAAUAUGAAGCUAUACAAGAAUGUACAAAUGUGGUAGAUACAAUUUUAUAAACCCCAUCUCUAAUCUAGUAGACCUUAACUCCACCUACCAACUGACGAAAUAACUCAAGUUGGAUUCUUCUAACCAGAAGCGGGAAGAAGGCACUGAAAUUGCAAUUAGCAAAUCAAUUUCAGUGACUUUUUAUGUGAUGGAAACAAAAGAGAUGAAAGAACUAAGCCAAAGCACUUCCUUUUUUCUUUUUAUGUUCUUUUGUGAUUAAUACUACUCAUCCAAACAGCA